This 73-nucleotide transfer RNA is filed under the name Trichonephila clavata. It matches the Rfam family "tRNA". From Rfam's summary of the family: Transfer RNA (tRNA) molecules are approximately 80 nucleotides in length. Lineage: Eukaryota; Metazoa; Arthropoda; Arachnida; Araneae; Nephilidae. The record is from Rfam by way of RNAcentral.
AGGGGCGUAGCUCAGAUGGUAGAGCGCUCGCUUAGCAUGCGAGAGGUACGGGGAUCGAUACCCCGCGCCCCUG